GUGUGCUUAUGUGUUAGUGUAUGUAUAGAUAUAAUAUUAGACUCUUCAAAACAACACAUAUACAAAAAACCCUAUUAGAGUUUCUCUUCGAGCCCUCAUCUCUCCCGCAAGUUUUCUUGAUCUCCAUUGUAUUUCCUUGCUAUUAUUCUUAUAAGUGUGCUUAUGUGUUAGUGUAUGUAUAGAUAUAUUAUUAGACUCUUCAAAACAACACAUAUACAAAAAACCCUAUUAGAGUUUCUCUUCGAGCCCUCAUCUCUCCCGCAAGUUUUCUUGAUCUCCAUUGUAUUUCCUUGCUAUUAUUCUUAUAAGUGUGCUUAUGUGUUAGUGUAUGUAUAGAUAUAAUAUUAGACUCUUCAAAACAACACAUAUACCAAAAACCCUAUUAGAGUUUCUCUUCGAGCCCUCAUCUCUCCCGCAAGUUUUCUUGAUCUCCAUUGUAUUUCCUUGCUAUUAUUCUUAUAAGUGUGCUUAUGUGUUAGUGUAUGUAUAGAUAUAUUAUUAGACUCUUCAAAACAACACAUAUACAAAAAACCCUAUUAGAGUUUCUCUUCGAGCCCUCAUCUCUCCCGCAAGUUUUCUUGAUCUCCAUUGUAUUUCCUUGCUAUUAUUCUUAUAAGUGUGCUUAUGUGUUAGUGUAUGUAUAGAUAUAAUAUUAGACUCUUCAAAACAACACAUAUACAAAAAACCCUAUUAGAGUUUCUCUUCGAGCCCUCAUCUCUCCCGCAAGUUUUCUUGAUCUCCAUUGUAUUUCCUUGCUAUUAUUCUUAUAAGUGUGCUUAUGUGUUAGUGUAUGUAUAGAUAUAUUAUUAGACUCUUCAAAACAACACAUAUACAAAAAACCCUAUUAGAGUUUCUCUUCGAGCCUUCAUCUCUCUCGCAAGUUUUCUUGAUCUCCAUUGUAUUUCCUUGCUAUUAUUCUUAUAAGUUUUGCUCGUAUAUUUUGCUCUUUUUAUAUAUAAGCAUGCAUGUCGCUAACCUUUAUAUCAAAGUAUAAAGAGCUUAAACCCAAUAAAAUUUUGAUGUAUAUACUACAAAAUUCUAAACAUGCCAUCUUCGUAUACACAUGAUUUGUAACACCCCAAAAAUAAAUUUUUUCUUUUUUUUUUUAAUAUUGGAACCUUUUUUUUUUAGAUUUAAUUGAAAUUGAUUUUAAAAAAAAUGGGUGAAAAUUUGAAUUCUGAAGUGUUUUUGAAAAGAAAAUCAGAAACCGGAAAUCAAAAUUCAAUUUAAAAAAGUUGACCACGUCAGCAACUCAAUCAGCAGUUCCGGUCACCCAGGACACGCCGCGUGGCAAUAAACGCUGACGCGGGACGGGAUCACGUGAUCAACUUGUUGGGUAUGAUUAACUUUUCACUGCUGGUUUUUUUCCCAUGUGUUCGUGUGCAAUUAUGGUAGUGAUGUUAUGGGUCGAAACCAUGAUGGCUAUGCACGUUACAUGUCUUUUAUAUAUGUACCUAUACAUGUACAUAUACAUAUAUGUAAGAUAGAGUACAAGUCUAUGAUUCAACUUGCCUUUGUUUUUUCUUUUGGUUUUGGGCUAGUUGGGAGUAAGGUUGGAAAUACCCACUAAAAAGAUAAAACGAGAGAAUUAAAGAUAGUCAUGAACUUCAUGGUGUAUAUGCGAAUAUAAUAUAUUAUUUUGAAUUUAAAUUUACUAAAAAAUAACUUCAAUUAUUAAUAUAUUUUAAAAAAAUUCAUAACCCAUAUAAAAAUUUCAUAAAUUUUUCGAUGCAAGGUAUAAAUUUUAAAUCAAUUACUUAUCGAAAUUCAAAUAAUCCAAGUUCGUAUUUAUUAAUAUUUAAUUUGGUAAAACUAUAGAUCAAAUAUAUUUUAAUGUCUAAUUGAAUUUAAAUCAAAAAACAAAUCAUAAUUAUCAAAUUUAUUUUGCCUAAGUUACAUAAUUUUCAAGUUGGAUGAGAAAGGAGAUUAUAAUUUCUCGAUAUUAAUUGUAUAUAUAUAUAUGUAUAUAUAUAUAUAUGUAUGUAUCUUGCAUUUUGGAAUUAAUUGGUGUUGAAUGUUCAUUGAAUAUUUUCAAUCUCAACAAAAAAAAAUGUUCAUUGAAUUUUAGCGAAGGACCACAAAGUCACAAUAAUUACCAUUUUUGCCACCGGCUUAAAAAAAAAAAAAAAAAAAAAAAAGCAUGCGAUUUUCAGGUGUGGUCCUUAUACCACUACAACUGUGAGAUAUAUAUUUUCAUAAUAUUAUAAGUUUAUUAUAUACAUAUUAUACAUAUAUUGUGUGCGGAAAUUAAACGGUGUCGUUUGAGAGCAAAAAUCAAAAUUUACACAAAUGCCAUGCAAGAAGCCCAAUCUACUUAAUUGGGCUCAACUUUCAUAAUACUACUACAAGUUGAUUACAUACAUAUUAGACAUAUAGUGUGUGCGGAAAUUAAACGGUGUCGUUUGAGAGCAAAAAUUACAAUUUACAUAAUAAUGCCAUGCAAGAAGCCCAAUACACUACCAAGUGUAACACGCUCAUCAACUUCGGUAUAAUUUUUUGAAAAAUAUUUCUUUGAUGAUUUAGUUCUUAAUUUUGGUGUAAUUAAAAUUAAUUAAAUCAUAAACACAUUUAAUAUAAUUAAUACUUAUUUAUUAAAACUAUUAUGCCCAUGUCUUGUCCAACUUCAUUAAAUAAAUAAAAUCAUAAUUUAUAUGUUCCCUACUUUUUAGGGGAAUUUAUAUAUCACCCUUUAUAUAUAUAUAUAUAAUAAUAAAUCGCAUUAGUUGAAUUUGAGAUUCUCCAUGGUCAUAAUCUCACCAACCCUCACAAAGCUUAAGGUUUAUUAAAUUAAUAAGAUAUAUAUAUAUAGAUAUAUAUAUGUAUGUAUACAUAUAAAAUAAUAAACAUAUGAUUCUUUCAUAAAUUUUAUCAUAAUAAUGAUAAUGAUAAUGAUUACAUAUAUAUAUAUAUAAAUAUAUAACUUUAUGGUUAACUUUGACCCGCCGAAGACUAUAUUAUUCUUAUGUUUUAAAUACACCAUUUAAAUUAAGUUAGCUAACACGCACCUACAUAUUUAAUUAAUCACUAAAUCAAAUUACUAUAUACAUAUAUACAUAUAUCUAUAUAUGUUAAUGUUGAUGGCAGGUUAAUUAUGGAAUUCAUUAAGAAAUAAAUUAUGGGGAGUGGUUAAUAUGUCAUAUACUAGAUUCUAAUUUUGUUAAUGCUGCUACUUGUGGACCUAUGCCUGUUUUUAAUACACGUUAUGUACAUAUUUAUAUAUAUUGCUGUUGACAAGUUAUAGACCACAUACAUAUAUAUAUAUAUAUACACACACACACACAUAUAUAUAUAUAUACUCAAUUCACAUUUAUUAUAAUAUAUGGCCCAAUAAAUCUUCUUCAUUAAGCCGCUUUAUGAUGCAAGAUUAACGUCACGCUUAUGUUGGUAAACAAAUAUACAAGAAUAUUACGUAUCCCGCAUUUUAUACGGUGUCGUUUUGUUUUUAUUUGCCUCGAAAGAAACUACUGAAUUUUAUAAUCAAAAUGCAAUAAUUAAUUACUUAAUUUAAAUUAAAUACAAGACGACGUAGUUUCCAAAGAUUGAUGGACACGUGGAGGUCGGGGACGUCAGCAGAGGAACGGUGCCGCGGCAGCGCAGGGAGACAAAUGGCGGCGAGUGGAGAAGGUUUCUUGGGAGGACAGCGAAAGCGAACGCGGUGGGACCCAUUUUUGGUCAACUAAGCAGAUUUGACCAUCAAGAUUCGUUCACGUGGCAGAUGGGUCCCGUAUAAAGAAGCCGGUAGAACAACAACGAACAGCAAAACCUAACACCCCCAACAAACCCCCCUACGCUUCUGUCAGUCAUCGGUUCGGGGUCUCAAUCAAAACGGUUCGUUUUGGUUGCUUAACUUGUUGUUGACUCGGCCAUGCCGUUGACUCCUCCAUUGUAAUAAUAAACUCGGUUGAAAGUUGAAACUCAUCUUCCAAUGCCUCCCUACAUAUAAUUACAUAUAUACAUAUACCCACAUAUAUAUAUAUAUAUAUGUGAAUGAGAACAAGGAGGAGGAGUUGUAAAACUAAGUCCACGUUAAGAUUUAGGUAAACAUGCAUAUACAAAGCAAACAAAGUUGAUAUAUUUUAUUACAAUAUGAACCCAAAGAAACCAACUUGUAUAUAUAUAUAUAUAUAUAUGUGUGUGUGUGUGUGUGUGUGUAUGUGUGUACACACAUAUUCACAACAAGGGUGUAAACUUUUUAAUUAUAAAGUGUAUGCAUUAUAUAUUUUACCUCUAAUAAAAUCUUAUAUUUUUUAUUGCAAAAUUUUUUAAAAUUUUUAAUUUUUAUUAGAAAAUAAAUCGAUUUAUUUUAGUAUAAAAUUUCCC
RNAcentral lists this long non-coding RNA (4320 nucleotides) under Carica papaya (papaya). Its description in RNAcentral is "long non-coding RNA (CPAP_LNC007600)". Lineage: Eukaryota; Viridiplantae; Streptophyta; Magnoliopsida; Brassicales; Caricaceae. The record is from RNAcentral.